UUUAUACUCCCUUUAAAUUUGUCCCAUUUCUAAGACAGCAGAAUUUUCAGAAUUCUCUUUACAAUCAUUGAAGAACAGCUUGAAUCCCUGAAAUGUGUCAGUAUGCAUAUGGGGACCAGGCAUGGAGGGAAGUACAGUGUUCAUUUGAUGGGAAAAAGCUGUACAAGAUAUUCAGCCACUUGAUGGAAUGGGAAGGAAGUCCAGAUAUGGGGAGGGCCAUGUAACUUCUCAUCUAAACAGAGACACUUGUGAAAUUGUUUGUUCUGCUGCAAGACAUCUACCUACUUUCUACCUCUGAGGGAAAUAUUUCUGGCCCGUGGGUGAAAUGGUGCUUAAGACAGAGAGAAGAAGAUUCUUAACAUAAGAGAAGUAUCUAUUUUAUGUUAUGUUAUGAGAAUAACCAUAUAUGAAAUAUAAUGAAAAACACCUGAUUCAUAGCAGCAAUAACCAUUAUCAAAUAUACAGACAUAUACUAAUCAAAAAUAUGUAACACUGUGAAAACAAGUACAAAAUUUUAUGGAGAGAAACAACUUGAGUAAAUUAAGGCACACAGUAAAGCUAGAUAAAAUAGUUAUAAAUUUCUAUUUCAAAAUUGAAAAAAUAGAGAAAUUUGCAUACAUCAGAGGCAAAUUAGGGAGUAAAUGCUCACAAGGAAAAGAUUGUGAACACAGGAAUGAAAGACUAAGACUGUAAAUCUUCAUUUAGUAACUUAGAUGACGAUUUUAAGAAAAGCUGCUAAAUAAGUAUUUUUUAUGUGUAAAAGGCAGUCUGCAAUGCAAACCUCCUACUAAGGCUCCCCUAUGAAAUACUAUACAACAGGGGUCCCCAACCCCUGGGCCAUGGAUUGGUACUGGUUAGUGGCCUGUUAGGAAUCUGGCUGCACAGCAGGAGGUGAGCUGCGGGUGAGAUUCGUCUGUAUUUACAGCCACUUCCCAUCGCUGGCAUUACUCCCUGACCUCCAUCUCCUGUCAGAUCAUCAUCAGCAUUAGAUUCUCAUAGUAGCGUGAACCCUGUUGUGAACCCCACAUGUAAGGGAUCUAGGAUGUGAGCUCCUUAUGAGAACUGAAUGCCUCAUGAUCUGUCACUGUCUCCCAUCACCCCCAGAUGGGACCAUUUAGUUGCAGGAAAACAAGCUCAGGACUCCCACUGAUUCUACAUUAUGGUUGGUUGUAUAAUUAUUUCAUUAUAUAUUAUGAUAUAAUAAUAAUAGAAAUAAAGUGUACAAUAAAUGUAAUGCGCUUGAAUCAUCCCGAAACCACCCCACUCCCUUGCCCUGUCUGUGGAAAAGUUUUCUUUCAUGAAACCUGUCCCUGGUACCAAAAAGGUUGGGGACCACUGCUAUGCACCAACAAAGCUAAGUAGAAUUUCUUUUGGGUGGGUGUGCAAAAAAGUGCUGAGUACUACUUCAAGUGCAGCAUAGAGCAAAGGAGAGCUUGCUCACAGGGGAGAGGUAAUGAUAUGGUCACAAUGAUGUAGAAAAGAAAAAAAAAGUCAUUAAUUAUUUCCAGAUAAUCACUACCUACUAGAAAAACCCAAGAAUAAAUUGAAAAUCAAUUACAAUAAUAGAGUUCCACGAGGUGGCUGUUGAUAAAAACUACAAAGAAUCAGUAUCUUUCUUAUGUUAAUGAGAAUAACCAUAUAUGAAAUAUAAUGAAAAACACCUGAUUCAUAGCAGCAAUAACCAUUAUCAAAUAUACAGACAUAUGCUAAUAAAAAAUGUGUAACACUAUGAAAACAAUUACAAAAUUUUAUGGAGAGAAACAACUUGAGUAAAUUAAGGCACACAGCACAGCUAGAUAAAAUAGUUAUAAAUUUCAAUUUCAAAAUUGAAAAAAUAGAGAAAUUUGCAUAUAUAGAUAUUAAGACAACAAUAAUUUAAUUAGACUAGUAUAGUCUAGAAAUCCCAGCAGUAUACACAAGUACAUACAAAUAUUUAGCAUCUGAUAAGAUAUCAUUUCAAAUAUUAGAGAUAGGGUUCUGGCUUUUGGUAAUGGCGGAAUGAAAUGUCCUGUGAACCCUCCCAAGGAUAAUCAUUAUAAAAACUGAAUAAAAUAUGAUUUUCAAAAACUGAUUUCCUGUAUGUUAAGUGAAAGCCAGGAACAGAAUGAAAAAUUCCACAUGAUCUUAUUCAUAUGUGAAAUCCAAAAAAGUUGAUCUCAUAGAUGUAGAGAGUAGAAUAUCAGUUACUAGAGGCUAGAAAGCAUAGGAGGAAAGGGAAAUCAAUCUAUUAGUCAAUGGGUAUCAAAUGAUAGUUAGAUAAGAGGAAUAAGUUCUAGUGUUCCAUUACACAGUAGGGAGAAUACAGUUAACAAUAAUACAUUGUAUAGUUUAAAAUAGCUAGAAGAUCUCAACACAAAGAAAUUAUAAAUGGUUGAAGUAACGGAUAGGCUAAUUGCCCUAAUUUGAUCAUUACACAUUGUAACAAGUAUCAAAACCUCACAUUCUACCCCAUAAACAUGUAUAAUUAUUAUGUGUCAAUUAAAAUGAAACUAUUGGAAGGAAAUGUAAAGUGACUAAAUGCAAGCAGAAAUCAGAGAUUUACCCUUGAGAGACUAUAACUAUAAUGGAUAGUGGCUGAGUAGAGAGUCUAAGUAUGACAGAACAGAUAGAAAUUAGGGACAAAAUUCAAGAAGCAAAAAAGCUGCAGAAAAGAGGAAACAAAAAAUCUGAGUAUGAACUCUGUCCAUAUCCCUGGCUGUUCAACAAGUGACAGAUGUAAGGGGACAGCUGGGGCAAAGAAAAAAUAGGCAGGAUAAUAAAGAAAUCUAUCCUCAAAAGUCAGAAUUUCACCAGGUGAGAUCUGAAAGUUAACUCCUUUAUUGAUUGGGUGCAUUCCAGAAUAUGCACUCAGCUCGGGAGGCAGAGAGCUGAAGUCUUACAAGGAGGACAAAGCUCAGGGGUGGAAAAGCAACUAAAAUUUAUGAAUCAAUAGAAGCAAGAGAACCACAGAAAGAAUGUCUCCAAAUUUGCAUAUAAACCCCGUCCAUAUCUUUGGCUGAAAAUAAACUACACAGGCUCAGAAGACCCUCAGGGAGUCAGACUAUAAAAUUGGCGGCUUGACAUUUAAAAAGCUAAGCAGACUAUCAGCUACUGCAUACCAUGUGUAGACAAAUAAAUAGUUUGGCUUUAAGCAAAUUAAUUACUUAUCAGAACAAACAAAGAAACAAAUAAAAUAACCCCAUGAUUCUACAAAUGACAAAACAGCACAUAUUGCCACUAUAUUAUAUAAAAUGACCAAUUUCAACCCAAAAUUACUAAAUAUGCAAAGAAUGAGUAGUGACCCACAUUAAAAAAAUAAUGAAGCAAAUGUAAAGUGCCUCCAAGUGAGCCUAGAUUUUGGGCAUAGCAAACAAAAACUUCAGCAGCUGGUCUAAAUAUGUUAAAAUGUUUAAAAAUAUGAUCUCAAUGAGUAAACAGAUAGGAAAUAACAGAAAUACAACUAAAAAGAACUGAAAAUUACAACAAAAGUCAUUAGAAUCAUUCUACAGAUUAGAUGUGGGGAAAAAAAUCAGUGAGCUUGGUGAUGCAUUAAUAACAGCUGUCCAAUCUUAAGAACAGAGAGAAACAUGAUAUUACAAAAUAAAUGAAGCUUCAAAAAUUUGGGACAUGCCGGGGGCAGUGGCUCAUGCCUGUAAUUCCAGC
RNAcentral lists this long non-coding RNA (3642 nucleotides) under Homo sapiens (human). RNAcentral's name for it is "HSALNT0124736". The record is from RNAcentral. Lineage: Eukaryota; Metazoa; Chordata; Mammalia; Primates; Hominidae.